Molecule: long non-coding RNA, 971 nt
Organism: Cydia amplana
Lineage: Eukaryota; Metazoa; Arthropoda; Insecta; Lepidoptera; Tortricidae
Exons: 2
Source: RefSeq, a predicted model, not a curated record
AGUACUGCGUGGCGCGCAUGCCGCCCUACCGCGGCGGCGGCCCGCCCGGCGCGCUCGACUACAUGGCCUUCUCCACCGCGCUCUACGGCGAGACCGACCUCUAGGCGCAGGUUGAUCGAGUUGCGUCAUGAUCAUCUCAUCGGGAGCAGCCACAGGAUGCCGCGCCGACCGCGAGGCAGACAUGUUUCCCUUACGUUGACGGCGAGCCCUAUCGGUCUGCCAACGUAACGCAAACAUCAUCUGCCGACACGUAAUAUUUAAUACAGUCCUGUAUAAACUUAAGUAUGUGCAAUGUUCAAACCAAAAAUGCCAUUAACUUUCACACCGUUACUCUUCUCCCUAAUGAAUGACUACUGUAAAACUUUUGGCUCAAAUCAGAGAAAUCAUCUGUAGAAUACGUUUUCGACAUCUCUAUUUAUACACUAGUGUUAGGUAUUUUUAACUUUUAUAUGAAAGUCUCAGGGAAGUCACAAAACAUUUAUUUGUAAGAUGGAAAUGGUGCUAAUGUUAGGCUUGACUAAUGUGUGACACCAAAAUAAGACUCAUUCACGUUGUAAGAAUGUUUUUGUUAUAUUUUUUUAUUUAUAAGCAAAAUAUUAUUUAUACAAGUUCAUUUUAAUUACUGCCAUUAGUAAUUUAUAGUACUUCGAUGGUAGGUACGUAAAGUUUUAAGCUGUCUAAAUUCGUAAAUGCAGGGAAGUGUCACACAAAUUAUUUAUAACAUAGAUUGCCAUAGCUUGCCUGCAUCUAUUUAUUUAUCAUUUUUAUAUGAUUAUCGUUUUUGAGAGUAUUUUUGUUUGAGUACUCUAAAUAAAUGAUCUGCCAUAUUUGUCUUUUAAUAAUGACUGUGUUGAUAAUCCAACCAAUAUCGUAUGAGAAAGAUUGGCACAGUAAAUAAGAAUUAAUUAUGUGCCCAAAAAGUAUACUAACUCGAAUGUACAGCUAAUUUAAUAAAAAAGCUCUUAAACACA